RNAcentral lists this ribosomal RNA (440 nucleotides) under uncultured bacterium. RNAcentral's name for it is "partial 16S ribosomal RNA". It matches the Rfam family "Bacterial small subunit ribosomal RNA", at positions 338 to 795 of the family's 1533-position model. The record is from RNAcentral.
CCUACGGGAGGCAGCAGUAGGGAAUAUUGCACAAUGGGGGAAACCCUGAUGCAGCGACGCCGCGUGAGUGAAGAAGUAUUUCGGUAUGUAAAGCUCUAUCAGCAGGGAAGAAAAUGACGGUACCUGAUUAAGAAGCCCCGGCUAACUACGUGCCAGCAGCCGCGGUAAUACGUAGGGGGCAAGCGUUAUCCGGAUUUACUGGGUGUAAAGGGGGCGUAGACGGCAGCACAAGUCUGGAGGGAAAUGCCGGGGCUUAACCCCGGAACUGCUUUGGAAACUGUGCAGCUAGAGUGCAGGAGAGGUAAGUGGAAUUCCUAGUGUAGCGGUGAAAUGCGUAGAGAUUAGGAGGAACACCAGUGGCGAAGGCGGCUUACUGGACUGUAACUGACGUUGAGGCUCGAAAGCGUGGGGAGCAAACAGGAUUAGAUACCCGUGUAGUC